RNAcentral lists this ribosomal RNA (952 nucleotides) under Spongiobothrium sp. MZUSP 7999. RNAcentral describes it as "16S ribosomal RNA". The stretch from base 607 to 952 matches the Rfam family "Bacterial large subunit ribosomal RNA", at positions 2045 to 2708 of the family's 2925-position model. The record is from RNAcentral. Lineage: Eukaryota; Metazoa; Platyhelminthes; Cestoda; Rhinebothriidea; Rhinebothriidae.
GAUAGUUUUUUUUUCUAUUAAUUAUUACGGUUUUGUGCCUUUUGCAUCAUGCUAUGGCGAAUCAAUGGUUAAUACCUGUAACCGAAAACCGCGGAUCUUAUUAAUUGCUUUUUAGUUUAUGUCAGGUAGACUCUUCUUUAGAUUUUUAAUACGUUGUGAUAAGUUAGACGGCGCGGUUUAUAGCUGUUUUACGGCUUAUUAUUUUAGUUUAUCUCUUUGGCGAGGAUGUCGGAGUGAAUAGUAUAUAUGUGGACUAUCAUUAUAUUAAGCGAGGGUUAAAAUUACCCUACUUUAAAGAUAAUGUUAAAAUUCUUUUUAGUUGUAUUGGAUAUUACUUUUAGUGGCCGUACUUUAAACUAACUGCUAUUGUUUAUGCUUUAAUAAGUAAUAUUAUUCUUUAUAUUGUUUCUCAAGUUUUACCCGUCUGUUUAUUAAAAACAUUUCUAUAUUUUAUUUUAUAUAGUAGUACCUGCUCUAUGUUUAUUUAUAAAUGGCCGCAGUAUCUUGACUGUGCGAAGGUAGCAUAAUUAAUUGCCUUAUAAUUGAAGGCUUGUUUGAAUGGUUUGACGUGGUAAAUACAAACAUUAGGAAGUUUAUUGAAAUUAUUAUGGGGGGCACAGAAACCCCCUAUGUUAAUUAGACGGAAAGACCCCGGGAUCUUUUAAUUUUGUCUGGGGCAGAUAGGAAUGUUUCAUUCAUAUUAUGACCCUUUAGGGUUAGUGAUUUAAGUUACCCCGGGGAUAACAGUGUAAUAGUCUAAUAGAGAUCUUAUCGAUUAGACUGCUUGUUACCUCGAUGUUGACUUAGGCUUCUUACUAGGCGCAGUAGUUUAGUUUUUAGGUCUGUUCGACCUUGUAGCCUCCAUGAGUUGAGUUAAGACCGGUGUAAGCCAGGUCGGUUCUUAUCUAUUAUUCUAGCUUAUUAGUACGAAAGGACCGUAAGUUGUUUUGUU